Molecule: long non-coding RNA, 808 nt
Filed under: Cricetulus griseus (Chinese hamster)
Lineage: Eukaryota; Metazoa; Chordata; Mammalia; Rodentia; Cricetidae
Description: lncRNA (ENSCGRG00015021752.2)
Source: RNAcentral
GGAGAAACAGGAAGGGGCUCCCCUUUUCUCCCUUGCUCUUCCAGCAGCACAAUGUGAGCCACCGGCAAGGAGGGACACCAAUAAGGCGUCUGAUAAGAACCUUGAAUCACAAUGAUGGCUAGCCACGGUUGAGCAGAUCUCUGGGGAUGCUUCCAUAUCCGAUCCAUAGCGAAGUAAGGCUUGUUGCUCAGGGGCUCCAGGAAGAAGAAGGUUCUUGACCAGGGAUGAGAGCAGUUCAGGACUAUGGGCCCAAAGAAGUAUUUUGAAGGCAGUGUGACAGCAUUACCAUCCAGCAAAGGGACAGGAGCAGGUUCUCCAAUAAGGCCUCUGACUGCCCAGCCAUGGGCUUUUCACUGUACCAGCAACCCAGGAAGAAAUCAUUCCUCUGCCAGUUUCUACUCUACUGAAGCUCUUCUCAGCCAAUCAGGAUGUUCAGAAGGGGAACAAAGCAGUCUGGCUGCCCGAGCACAGGCUGGCAAAGGCUCUGGUGGCCGUUCACUUGGGCAGGAUAUCAGAGGACUUCGACACCAGCUUCCCAUCGCAGGCUUCAAUCUUCUUCACAACCACAGCCUUGGUGCGACUGUAAGUGCUGGAGUCCCCGACAGAGCUGAAGCAGGGCUGGAAGGAGCUCAUGCCAUAGCUGAAGCCAGGGCUGGUGAGUCCCCCAUAGGCUGAGCUCAGCCCUCCUGACUAGCCACUGGUGGUCUUUGUUUGGAUACUCAAGUUCUGCAUUCCAGACUCCAGUCUGCUCUCCUCGCCCUCCAGCAGCUUGCGGGAGAUGGCAAUCUCGAUGUCAAGCGCCAGUUUG